Molecule: long non-coding RNA, 1582 nt
Filed under: Homo sapiens (human)
Lineage: Eukaryota; Metazoa; Chordata; Mammalia; Primates; Hominidae
Description: HSALNT0030275
Source: RNAcentral
CAGCAUCCCUCGGGGGAGGCCAGUCCCCCAGGUCUGUUUUGUGACCCUUGGCUGCACAUUCUCCCAGAUAGGAGCUACAAACCAGGGCCCUGCGUCAGACCCUUGGGGAUGGGGGAGGUCUAGAAAAACCCACGGAGGAAGAAUAAUGGUACCAGAGGGAACUUUAACUCCUAGAAUCAGGGACCGGGAAAACCUGAAGUUCAGGAAAGCUGCUAAUGAAGUGAGAUGGAAGCCACGUGCCUUGCCAGGAGCUUACUAACGUAAUGUGGCACCCGCCAGCCUAUUCUGCAGACAUAAUGGAAGAGAGUGUUUCCACUGCUCAUUCCACAGGCAAGCCACAGAUCCUGGCCACUCCUUGCCUUGGAGGCAGUACAGACACAUUCAUAGGGUUUGGCUCCUUUCCCUUGAGUUCUGCACCUUAAACUAAAGAAGUCAGUCACGCGAGGCUGGCUUGCUGGAACCGGCUAGAAAAUGCAGCCCUGCCUGCCGCAGGGAUCUCCUCCGGUAUGGCCACACAUAUGAGUUCUGGCAAUGCCCAUUAGUGAUAUGGCCGAUAGUUUCUUCUGUCUUGCUUCCAGGAACCUUUUCUUGGUUUGAAGCCACCGAACCAGAAGAGAGAAUUUUUACCACUUUGAGGACUUCUUGUGACGAAUCCAAUGGGAAUUCCAUAAUAUUCAGAAACAAAACAUUUUGAGGGCCAACAAAUUAUUAAGCCCUUUGCUAGGUCUUAGAGAUACAAAGAUAAAGAAGACUGGAGUUUUCUUUUUAUUAUCUACCAGACUGAAGGCCACUGCCUGGGGACUUGAUCUAAGAGAAGAAAUAUCAGGAGACCUGGGUUUGGCUCCUGGCUCUGCCAGGUGAUCAUGGAGCAGUCACGUAUUAUCCCUGAGCUUCCGUUUCCUCAUCUACUUAAUUAGUGAUGGGUCUACAGGGCCUUGCUGGGGUCCACUUCUGACAUUCUGUGUUGCAUGGACCAUGUCAGAGAAGAUGGAGACACCUUCACGGCCUGUUAGUCACAUCUCACCAAAGCUUCUCAAUGGGCUGUCAGACAAGAAAGGAGCCUCCUGUAGCCAUCUUAAUCAGCAUCCCCCAUCUGUGAGGUCAUCGGGAUAUUUCAAACAAUCUUCAGCUCUCAUUAGUUGAGUGCGUUUCACAGAUAGUUGUCCGGAAAAGGAAGAGGAUGACACUGAUGACCAGCCGUCUUGGGUGGUUCACAGGCUCACUAAGGAGGCAGUGUUGAGCCUGACGGAUCUGUGAAGGCCCCUCCGACUUGUAACUGUAAAAUGAUGACUCUUGAUGGAACUCUACAGUUGUUGACACCUGGUGGGCCACCUACAGCUGAAGGUUCAAAGUGAUAAAACAAACCUGGUACGGAAAUAACUGAUUGUGGAACGCGAAGGACCUGUGAUCAUGCAAAGGUGACAGAGCAGACACUGAUAGUAGAACUGUGGAGAAGUAUCCCUGGAGAUGACCCACAAUCUCAAGAAGGCUGAAGAGGAGAGGAAGAGAAUGGAUAAAUCGAAACAAGUGUUUAGAUGAUCAAGGCCUUAUAAGCCAUACCGCCAUGUAAGACGUGCCAUUC